RNAcentral lists this ribosomal RNA (468 nucleotides) under uncultured bacterium. RNAcentral describes it as "partial 16S ribosomal RNA". It matches the Rfam family "Bacterial small subunit ribosomal RNA", at positions 28 to 507 of the family's 1533-position model. The record is from RNAcentral.
GACGAACGCUGGCGGCGUGCUUAACACAUGCAAGUCGAACGGAAAGUCCGUGCUUUUGUGCGGUGCUCGAGUGGCGAACGGGUGAGUAACACGUAAGUACCCUGUCCUUGACUUUGGGAUAACUUCAUGCAACUUGUGCUAAUACCGGAUAGGAGCUCCCGCUGUAUGGUGGGCGUUGGAAAGUUUCGGUGGUUGGGGAUGGAGUGGCCUCUUAUCGGCUUGUUGGUGGGGUAGUGGCUUACCAAGGCUUUGACAGGUAGCCGGGCUGGGAGGGUAACCGGAUCCGUCGGAAUGGGGAUGAGACACAGACCACACUGGUACGCAAGGGUGCAGAGUAGUGCACUACGGGAUGAGGGCUGGCGUGACAAAGCCACGCGGGGUAUGACGGGAAUGGGGUUGGAAUCCGAUUUUGUUUGAGACGAAGCGUGAGUGACGGUACUGGGUAAAGAAGCACCGGCUAACUACGUG